GCCCGACAGGCAUGAAGGAAGCAGUGGUUAAUUUCCUCAACAGAUCACAUCGUAUUCGUGACAAAGCAUGCCCAACAGGCUUGAAGGAAGCAGUGGUUAAUUUCCUCAACAGAUCACAUCGUAUUCGUGACAAAGGGGCUGCGUGAAUUGCAUUUGCCUUCAUUUCAAUCACGUACUGUAAGUUCCAUGUGUGUUCAUUUGGAGUUCCGAAUAUUACGUCAGCCAUUAUGACCUGAAGACUUGAGGAGAACAGCAAACAAGGAACUGCGCAAAUUCAGGGCUCGAAACUAACGAUUGCCCGAUUGCCCGGGGCAAGUAGCGAUGGCAGAGGGGCAAGUAGAAAUUUUUCCUCACUUGCCCGAACUUGCCCUGCCAUAAUACCAUGUUUUCAAGCUGUAAAAACACGAUUUUGUGCAUAAUUUCUCGCAACUUCUGCCGCUUCUGGUCCGACAUUUUGUUUUCUAGGGAGCGUGUAAGUCUGCAAUACAUUGAUAACGGCAAAGCGCUUCGUAAUUAAAUGCAUGCUCCCUCACUCGUCCCUGGCUCUUCUGCGCCUGCGCACCAGCAGAGCUUGUUUCCGGUUGGCGGAUACGAAGGCAUAUGAAGGCAAAAC
Molecule: long non-coding RNA, 613 nt
Organism: Syngnathus typhle (broad-nosed pipefish)
Lineage: Eukaryota; Metazoa; Chordata; Actinopteri; Syngnathiformes; Syngnathidae
Exons: 4
Source: RefSeq, a predicted model, not a curated record